CUGAGGAAACCUCAAAUGAAAAAGGCAAAUCAAAUGAGACAUCUCUUGAGGAUUCAGCUGAUGUAGAGAGCAAAUCAAAAGAGACAUCAAAUGAGGAGUCUUCCAAUAUGAAAAGCAAGUCAACAGAAAUAUCACUGGAGGAGCCUUCAAACGAACAAAAUGAGGACUCUAGAGCCCUGCACUGACCAUGAAUGAAACUCCACAGAGUCUGAAUUCAAUGUGAACACAAGAAGACCUCAUUCAGAAUCUACCAGAUGUUAACAAUUGUACUGUACUCACUCAUGUCCAAGACUGAGGGGCCUGGAGCUCCUGACUGUAAAUUUUGUUGU
This is a long non-coding RNA of Mobula hypostoma (lesser devil ray), 329 nucleotides long. RefSeq lists it as uncharacterized. The record is from RefSeq and is a predicted model, not a curated record. The transcript has 5 exons. Lineage: Eukaryota; Metazoa; Chordata; Chondrichthyes; Myliobatiformes; Myliobatidae.